UACAGAGGUCUCAAGCGUUGUUCGGAAUCACUGGGCGUAAAGGGUGCGUAGGCGGGUCUUUAAGUCAGGGGGGAAAUCCUGGAGCUCAACUCCAGAACUGCCUUUGAUACUGAGGAUCUUGAGUUCGGGAGAGGUGAGUGGAACUGCGAGUGUAGAGGUGAAAUUCGUAGAUAUUCGCAAGAACACCAGUGGCGAAGGCGGCUCACUGGCCCGAUACUGACGCUGAGGCACGAAAGCGUGGGGAGCAAACAGG
Molecule: ribosomal RNA, 253 nt
Filed under: uncultured bacterium
Lineage: Bacteria
Description: partial 16S ribosomal RNA
Rfam family: Bacterial small subunit ribosomal RNA
Source: RNAcentral